GGGUUGUGAGGUUAAGCGACUAAGCGUACACGGUGGAUGCCCUGGCAGUCAGAGGCGAUGAAGGACGUGCUAAUCUGCGAUAAGCGCCGGUAAGGUGAUAUGAACCGUUAUAACCGGCGAUUUCCGAAUGGGGAAACCCAGUGUGACUCGUCACACUAUCAUUAACUGAAUCCAUAGGUUAAUGAGGCGAACCGGGGGAACUGAAACAUCUAAGUACCCCGAGGAAAAGAAAUCAACCGAGAUUCCCCCAGUAGCGGCGAGCGAACGGGGAGGAGCCCAGAGCCUGAAUCAGCAUGUGUGUUAGUGGAAGCGUCUGGAAAGGCGCGCGAUACAGGGUGACAGCCCCGUACACAAAAGCGCAUGUGCUGUGAGCUCGAUGAGUAGGGCGGGACACGUGGUAUCCUGUCUGAAUAUGGGGGGACCAUCCUCCAAGGCUAAAUACUCCUGACUGACCGAUAGUGAACCAGUACCGUGAGGGAAAGGCGAAAAGAACCCCGGCGAGGGGAGUGAAAAAGAACCUGAAACCGUGUACGUACAAGCAGUGGGAGCCCCACCACUAAGCCAGUGGUGAACUCCACAUACGCAUCCUUUGCUGAGGAUACGGUUAACGGAGCGAAAGCGACGUUCAACCGCAAAAGAAGCAGAGGGGGCUUAGUGGUGGGGUGACUGCGUACCUUUUGUAUAAUGGGUCAGCGACUUAUAUUCUGUAGCAAGGUUAACCGAAUAGGGGAGCCGGAGGGAAACCGAGUCUUAAUUGGGCGUUAAGUUGCAGGGUAUAGACCCGAAACCCGGUGAUCUAGCCAUGGGCAGGUUGAAGGUUGGGUAACACUAACUGGAGGACCGAACCGACUAAUGUUGAAAAAUUAGCGGAUGACCUGUGGCUGGGGGUGAAAGGCCAAUCAAACCGGGAGAUAGCUGGUUCUCCCCGAAAGCUAUUUAGGUAGCGCCUCGUGAAUUCAUCUCCGGGGGUAGAGCACUGUUUCGGCUAGGGGGCCAUCCCGGCUUACCAACCCGAUGCAAACUGCGAAUACCGGAGAAUGUUAUCACGGGAGACACACGGCGGGUGCUAACGUCCGUCGUGAAGAGGGAAACAACCCAGACCGCCAGCUAAGGUCCCAAAGUCAUGGUUAAGUGGGAAACGAUGUGGGAAGGCCCAGACAGCCAGGAUGUUGGCUUAGAAGCAGCCAUCAUUUAAAGAAAGCGUAAUAGCUCACUGGUCGAGUCGGCCUGCGCGGAAGAUGUAACGGGGCUAAACCAUGCACCGAAGCUGCGGCAGCGACGCUGAUGCGUUGUUGGGUAGGGGAGCGUUCUGUAAGCCUGUGAAGGUGGCCUGUGAGGGUUGCUGGAGGUAUCAGAAGUGCGAAUGCUGACAUAAGUAACGAUAAAGCGGGUGAAAAGCCCGCUCGCCGGAAGACCAAGGGUUCCUGUCCAACGUUAAUCGGGGCAGGGUGAGUCGACCCCUAAGGCGAGGCCGAAAGGCGUAGUCGAUGGGAAACGGGUUAAUAUUCCCGUACUUGGUGUUACUGCGAAGGGGGGACGGAGAAGGCUAUGUUGGCCGGGCGACGGUUGUCCCGGUUUAAGCGUGUAGGUGUGUGUUCCAGGUAAAUCCGGUUCACUUUAACACUGAGGCGUGAUGACGAGGCACUACGGUGCUGAAGCAACAAAUGCCCUGCUUCCAGGAAAAGCCUCUAAGCAUCAGGUAACAUCAAAUCGUACCCCAAACCGACACAGGUGGUCAGGUAGAGAAUACCAAGGCGCUUGAGAGAACUCGGGUGAAGGAACUAGGCAAAAUGGUGCCGUAACUUCGGGAGAAGGCACGCUGACACGUAGGUGAAGUGAUUUACUCAUGGAGCUGAAGUCAGUCGAAGAUACCAGCUGGCUGCAACUGUUUAUUAAAAACACAGCACUGUGCAAACACGAAAGUGGACGUAUACGGUGUGACGCCUGCCCGGUGCCGGAAGGUUAAUUGAUGGGGUCAGCGCAAGCGAAGCUCCUGAUCGAAGCCCCGGUAAACGGCGGCCGUAACUAUAACGGUCCUAAGGUAGCGAAAUUCCUUGUCGGGUAAGUUCCGACCUGCACGAAUGGCGUAAUGAUGGCCAGGCUGUCUCCACCCGAGACUCAGUGAAAUUGAACUCGCUGUGAAGAUGCAGUGUACCCGCGGCAAGACGGAAAGACCCCGUGAACCUUUACUAUAGCUUGACACUGAACAUUGAGCCUUGAUGUGUAGGAUAGGUGGGAGGCUUUGAAGUGUGGACGCCAGUCUGCAUGGAGCCGGCCUUGAAAUACCACCCUUUAAUGUUUGAUGUUCUAACGUGGACCCGUGAUCCGGGUUGCGGACAGUGUCUGGUGGGUAGUUUGACUGGGGCGGUCUCCUCCUAAAGAGUAACGGAGGAGCACGAAGGUUGGCUAAUCCUGGUCGGACAUCAGGAGGUUAGUGCAAUGGCAUAAGCCAGCUUGACUGCGAGCGUGACGGCGCGAGCAGGUGCGAAAGCAGGUCAUAGUGAUCCGGUGGUUCUGAAUGGAAGGGCCAUCGCUCAACGGAUAAAAGGUACUCCGGGGAUAACAGGCUGAUACCGCCCAAGAGUUCAUAUCGACGGCGGUGUUUGGCACCUCGAUGUCGGCUCAUCACAUCCUGGGGCUGAAGUAGGUCCCAAGGGUAUGGCUGUUCGCCAUUUAAAGUGGUACGCGAGCUGGGUUUAGAACGUCGUGAGACAGUUCGGUCCCUAUCUGCCGUGGGCGCUGGAGAACUGAGGGGGGCUGCUCCUAGUACGAGAGGACCGGAGUGGACGCAUCACUGGUGUUCGGGUUGUCAUGCCAAUGGCACUGCCCGGUAGCUAAAUGCGGAAGAGAUAAGUGCUGAAAGCAUCUAAGCACGAAACUUGCCCCGAGAUGAGUUCUCCCUGAGACUUAGAGUCUCCUGAAGGAACGUUGAAGACGACGACGUUGAUAGGCCGGGUGUGUAAGCGCAGCGAUGCGUUGAGCUAACCGGUACUAAUGAACCGUGAGGCUUAACCUUACA
This 3019-nucleotide ribosomal RNA is filed under the name Salmonella enterica. RNAcentral describes it as "partial 23S ribosomal RNA". It matches the Rfam family "Bacterial large subunit ribosomal RNA". The record is from RNAcentral. Lineage: Bacteria; Pseudomonadati; Pseudomonadota; Gammaproteobacteria; Enterobacterales; Enterobacteriaceae.